Carassius carassius (crucian carp) is the source of this 837-nucleotide long non-coding RNA. RefSeq lists it as uncharacterized. The record is from RefSeq and is a predicted model, not a curated record. Lineage: Eukaryota; Metazoa; Chordata; Actinopteri; Cypriniformes; Cyprinidae. The transcript has 3 exons.
AAUAAAUAACAUUCAAAUAUAAAUCUUCUUAAAGCUUUUGGAUUCUGACAACAGACUGUCUUUUACCACCAACAGGACAAUAGAUGCAAAAGUACCAGAAAAAAUCUGACCUCCGAGGUGAUUCCCCAAAAUGAAACUCUGCCAGUCUUCACUAAAUACAAAAGUAAAGGCUCCUCUGCUGAUGGCAAUAAGGGGUUGUCCUCAGAUUGGAUGUUGUAGCGAUACUGGCAAAAGUCCAAUCCAAUAACUCCUGCAAUGAUCAUAGUUUCAUUCAGAUUAAUGGACGUCAGAGACAGAGCUCUACAUCUUUAAGGUUCCCAUGUGUUUCCCCCACAGCGAUAUUUCAGAGUUACCCAAAACAAAAUGCUGGCAACCAGGUUAAAUGCCAGCUGUCUGCAGGAAAGAGCUGUUGCCGACUUCUGCAAGAAAGACGGGAGGUCAUUGUUCGCUGCAUGACUGAGGGACGACUUAACAACCUGCUUGAUGUGUUGCGGGCUAGACAAGCUGUGACCCGUGAGAUGUACGAGAUCAUCCCUGCGGCCCUGACCUUGACCGCACGCACACGCUGUUUGCUUGAUAUCUGUACCUGCCUUGGUGAAAAUGUUGCUAUCUUGGUGGCCACAACUUUAGGUUUAGUAUCCACCGAAAAUACUCAGACCACCCCUAGGUGGCAGGCUGGAUAAGUAAAGCCAACGUGCCGCUACUCUUAUGGAAUUGCAAAAUGCAGUAACUGCACAUGAAACAACUUAUAUCAGACUGAUAUAAGAUUUGUGUGGCACUGUAAUGUGUUGGGAUUGUUAGUGUGUUCUUGUUUGGACUACUCUGUAACAGAUGAGG